CUGAUGCCAAUCUCCUUCCUGCUGUUUCUAUCAAGAGGUGCUUAGAAGUCAUCACUCCAGCCUAACAAGUAAAAAAACUGAACGAACUGAAAAAUCAACAGCUCUUCUAAGAUCUGUCAGAGACUUGAGGCCAGAGGGCAAAUCACUGCCCCCAAAAUUGGAGAGACAGACAGGCAGACACAGAGAACCCCAACAUGAGCAGAAACUGCUGAACAGAAACUUCUGUUUGAACCCCUCCCUGGGUAGGCAGACUGCAUUGUAAUUAAAGUAUGGCUGGAGGCUCAGUGUGGACAAGCCUGAAAAUGAAAACCUCCAGAGGAGCCAGUCACAGGAGGAGCCCUGCAUUUUUGUGAGCUUUAUCUCUGGGAACUGUACCAGAGGCCGGAGGAGAAAAACACCUUACUUAUAAAGGAGCAAAUAAAACAGUUACUUCUGAGUUCUCAGAAACCAUGCAAGCAAGAAGAAAGUGGAGUGAAAUGUUUAAAGUGCUGAGAGAAGAAAAUCACCAACCUAGAAUUCUGUACCCUGUGAAAUCAUCUUUCAAAAGUGAAGGAGAAAUAAAAGCUGUCUCAGAUAUACAAAAACUGAGAAAAUUUGUUGCCAGUGAUCUGCUCUGUAAGAAAUGUAAAACAAGUUCUUGAGAGAAGAAAAAUGACAUAGGUCAGAAACUCAGGUCUACAUAAAGAAAGAAAGAGCACUGGAGAAAGAAUAAGUAAAGGAACAUCAAGUGAGACUGAAAUCUUGAUUAAAAGUACAUUGUUGGGCUUCCCUGGUGGCGCAGUGGUUGAGAAUCUGCCUGCUAAUGCAGGGGACACGGGUUCGAGCCCUGGUCUGGGAAGAUCCCACAUGCCGCGGAGCAGCUGGGCCCGUGAGCCACAAUUGCUGAGCCUGCGCGUCUGGAGCCUGUGCCCCGCGACGGGAGGGGCCGCGAUAGAGAAAGGCCCGCGCACCGCGAUGAAGAGCGGUCCCCGCACCGCGAUGAAGAGUGGCCCCCGCUUGCCGCAACUGGAGAAAGCCCUCGCACGAACCGAAGACCCAACACAGCCAAAAAUAAAUAAAUAAAUAAAUAAAUAAGAAAAUCCUUUAAAAAAAAAAAAAAAGUACAUUGUUUAAGUAAAUUAUAGGGACUAAUUACCUUUGGGAUAGAAUUACACAUUUUAAGUAGCUGAACACAAUCGAUAAAGGCAGACCAUUUAGAUAACUAAAUCUGAUUAUUUUCUUUAUAUAUAAAUCCCUCUCCUCUCUUUUAUUCUAUGUUGAGAAUUACUGAUAUGCUUUGAUUUGAUACAGAAAUUCACAUUAAGUCUUUGGACUAUAAGUAAUUAUUUCAUUUUUACUAACUUGUCUCCCAAGGUAUCUGCACUGCAAGAAUAUGUUGGGGUCUAUUCUUAAAGAGUCCUUCAAAUCUCAUCAAAUGUACUUUCUAUGAUGUAACUACACAGAUAGAAUUACCUUAGAGGGGAAUAUAAUACAGUUGUUUUUUUUAAAGGAAAAAUCUAUUGUCACAAAAUUACAAAGCCACAGAUAGAAAUCAUCUACCAUAACACUGUACGAGCUCAGUAAAGAUGCAAGACCACAACUGUUUUAACACCGUCUACUUCCUGGUUGGGCAGCUAGAAUAAGCAUAAGGAAAUAUUUUAACAAAUAAAAUUCUAAUUCCAAACCAUGGUAAUCAAAGGAAUGUAACCUACAUCUCCUAUAUCUUAACUAUAGUUGGAUCCUUUAAGGUAGCUAUUAGAUGACUUGGAAGCUGUCUUGUACUGGAAAUGAGAACAAAGUAUCCUUCUUUAUGUCAAAGACAUGAAUUUACUGUUUAGAAUCAGAAAUAGUCUUCGAAACAUUUAGACCUGGGACUUCCCUGGUGGUGCAGUGGUUAAAAAUCCGCCUGCCAAUGCAGAGGACAUGGGUUCGAGCCCUGGUCCGGGUAGAUCCCACAUGCUGCGGAGCAGCUAAGCUCGUGUGCCACAACUACUCAGCCUGUACUCUAGAGCCCACGAGCCACAACUACUAAGUCCACGUACCACAACUACUGAAGGCUGUGCGCCUAGAGCCCGUGCUCUGCAGCAAGAGAAGCCACUGCAAUGAGAAGCCCGUGCACCACAACGAAGAGUAGCCCCUGCUCACCGCAAUGAGAGAAAGCCCGUGCGCAGCAACAAAGACCCAACGCAGCCAAAAAAAUAAAAAUAAAAUAAAUUAAUUAAUUAAAAAACAAUUAGACCUGUUUUCCAAUGCCUGUAUAUUUCAAUACCAGCCAUGAAAAAAAAAUUGAAAGUUGAAUUUCUCAGAUAACCUUCAAAAUUUAAAUAGGAGAUACUAAGUUUUCCAACAGCACAAUUCUAACUUUGUUAGACAAAAUUGUUUCUUUUAUAUUCUGGUAAUCUAAUUAAAUAUUUGUGCAAGAAAAUUCA
This is a long non-coding RNA of Balaenoptera acutorostrata (minke whale), 2408 nucleotides long. RefSeq lists it as uncharacterized. The record is from RefSeq and is a predicted model, not a curated record. The transcript is spliced from 3 exons. Lineage: Eukaryota; Metazoa; Chordata; Mammalia; Artiodactyla; Balaenopteridae.